RNAcentral lists this ribosomal RNA (409 nucleotides) under uncultured bacterium. Its description in RNAcentral is "bacterial SSU rRNA". It matches the Rfam family "Bacterial small subunit ribosomal RNA", at positions 541 to 952 of the family's 1533-position model. The record is from RNAcentral.
UUAUCCGGAUUUAUUGGGUUUAAAGGGAGCGUAGGCGGACGUUUAAGUCAGUUGUGAAAGUUUGCGGCUCAACCGUAAAAUUGCAGUUGAUACUGGGUGUCUUGAGUACAGUAGAGGCAGGCGGAAUUCGUGGUGUAGCGGUGAAAUGCUUAGAUAUCACGAAGAACUCCGAUUGCGAAGGCAGCUUGCUGGACUGUAACUGACGCUGAUGCUCGAAAGUGUGGGUAUCAAACAGGAUUAGAUACCCUGGUAGUCCACACAGUAAACGAUGAAUACUCGCUGUUUGCGAUAUACAGUAAGCGGCCAAGCGAAAGCGUUAAGUAUUCCACCUGGGGAGUACGCCGGCAACGGUGAAACUCAAAGGAAUUGACGGGGGCCCGCACAAGCGGAGGAACAUGUGGUUUAAUUC